This 440-nucleotide ribosomal RNA is filed under the name uncultured bacterium. RNAcentral's name for it is "partial 16S ribosomal RNA". It matches the Rfam family "Bacterial small subunit ribosomal RNA", at positions 338 to 795 of the family's 1533-position model. The record is from RNAcentral.
CCUACGGGUGGCAGCAGUGGGGGAUAUUGCACAAUGGGGGGAACCCUGAUGCAGCGACGCCGCGUGGGUGAAGAAGCGCCUCGGCGCGUAAAGCCCUGUCAGCAGGGAAGAAAAUGACGGUACCUGAAGCAGAAGCACCGGCGAACUACGUGCUAGCAGCCGCGGUAAUACGUAGGGGGCAAGCUUUAUCCGGAUUUCCUUGGUGUCAAGGGGGCGCAGACGGGGCUGCAAGCCAGGAGUGAAAGCCCGGGGGACAGCCCCGGGACUGAUCUUGGAACUGCGUGGCGGGAGUGCAGGAGGGGCAGGCGGAAUUCCUGGUGUCGCGGUGAAAUGCGUAGAUAUCAGGAGGAACACCGGUGGCGAAGGCGGCCUGCUGGACUGCAACUGACGUUGAGGCCCGAAAGCGUGGGGAGCAAACAGGAUUAGAUACCCCAGUAGUC